RNAcentral lists this long non-coding RNA (210 nucleotides) under Homo sapiens (human). RNAcentral's name for it is "HSALNT0191474". The record is from RNAcentral. Lineage: Eukaryota; Metazoa; Chordata; Mammalia; Primates; Hominidae.
AACCUUACUUUCAAAGUUCAAAGAGCAGUACAUUGUGCUCUUUCAGGUAUACAGUUACACAGUGUCCUCCCAAACUUGAACGCUUUUUUGUAUGAGAUGGAAGAAUUUGCAUGCCUUUUUCCUCCUUGGUACCUCUCAGCUUGAAGAAAACAAUGAUUGUUUCACAGAUGAGAACACUCAAGCAAAACAAGAUCGGCACAGCACAUGGUA